Long non-coding RNA from Halichondria panicea, 3031 nucleotides. RefSeq lists it as uncharacterized. The transcript is spliced from 3 exons. Lineage: Eukaryota; Metazoa; Porifera; Demospongiae; Suberitida; Halichondriidae. The record is from RefSeq and is a predicted model, not a curated record.
ACUCCUGCGGUCCUCUAUCGGUGGGAACUGUGGGUCUCCAUGGCAUCUCCUUGGAGACUCUGACGUCAAUGGCCUGGAAUAUUCCCAGAUCCAGUUCCAGAACCCAGUUCCUUUGAAGUUUGAAGGAGAAGCAAAGCGUCUUGCUGGAAGAGAUGCUGUGCAAACCUUCCACUGUGUUGCAGAACCAUCGCGAGCCUUCCACUGUGUUACAAAACCAUCGCGAGCCUUCCACUGUGUUACAGAACCAUCGCGAGCCUUCCACUGUGUUGCAGAACCAUCGCGAGCCUUCCACUGUGUUUCAGAACCAUCGCAAGCCUUCCCGCAGAGCAGUGCAAGCAUUCUCUAGCCAUGGAAGGAUAGAGCUGGAUCAUCCGACACCGUGCAGGCUGCAAAAGCUAUUGUAAGUUAAAACCGUACCUAGUACCUCUGUAGCUUGUUUUGCAAUUGUUGCAGCUAGCUAGCUAUAGAUAGAUUGUUCACUCUGGCGUUUGAGCGUAUCCGUGUUGCGCACUGUUUGUUGAGCAUGGAAGGUUUCUGGUUGGAUUAUUUUGCUCUUGUAUUCCUAGUGUUUUAAGUGUGGCCCCUUCUUGACUGUGAGGUGUGUAGGUCAUGCAGCUUAAUAGAUACAUACUUGCCAGCAAGCGUACGUUAAAUGCAUGUGUGCAUGGCUAAACUCGUGUCGACAACGCUUUUUGUUCUGUUAAUAUACGCGUGGCUAAGAGUCUAUUACCUACAUGGCCUUGAACCCUUUGGUGGGGGAGGGUGGUGUCCGUAGCACUCAAGUAAUCAUUCAGAAUGUGUGUGGAAGGUUCUUCAACAGUCGGGUUGCAGGAGAGCAUCUUCUUAUUUUUGAAACUGUUGUCGAACCAGCCUUCGGGGUGCAAUGAUGGAUACUCAUGGCAUCCCAGUCUAUUGAGGGAGCACUCUGCUGUUAGUACCUGCCUAAAGGGAAAGCAGCACAGGAUCCUGCCAUAAUUGGGAGUGCUAAGAUCUCGUUAUCAGUUCCAAUAGUUAGUUAGCUAGGAUCAUUAGAAUAGCUAGCUAUAAUAUAGUUAGACAACUGCUUCUUGGCUUAUGCUAAUCUAUUAUGACAGCUUUUUUAGGAUCUUAACUCUGUGCCUCCUGCACAUGGAAUUGGUAAGUUCAGGCUUUAACUAAACCCUAGGUGUGCCAAGGGAACUAUAGCCUUUGACUGGAUUAGUGAAGAGUAGUCUUGAGCACUUGUGCAAGCCUUGCAUGCCAGGCUUGUUGCAACUGGAGUCGACAAGGGCUUCAAGAGCAAGGAGGUGUUGUCUCUGUGAGUCUACUGUUGUUGAACCAUCCCACACAUUCUGGUUGAUUACUUCUGUGCUCAGUUAAUGGUACUCACAUGCAGUCACAGGGUCCCUUUAGUUUAUUAUGCCCUUAUUGUAUUAGUCCCUUGAGCAAGGAAACUACUGGUGAGAAUGUUCUCAAUGGUGGUAAGAAUGUUGUCAGUUCUGGUGGUGUUUGGUUCGUUUCUACAGUUGUGGAGAUUUGUUGAUGAUCGGUUUUGUUUGAACUGCUGCGCUCAAUGUAACCAUGCAUUUUGCUUGUUCUCUUGCAGCCACAAUGCACACAACACAGCUCCUACUAGCUAAUGUACUAGUGUUCCAUUCUCUCACUGCUUUUGUCUCCUCUCUCCCCCAGGUACAGACAAGUCAUGUUGCUCUUGGGACUGAGGGAGGAUUACAAUGACUGCAUGUUUGUAUCAUUAUUUUUAUUGCAGAUACUGAAGGGGUGGGGCUUAAUUGUACACCCCCACAUCUCUUGUCUUAGGGGAGGGGCUCGAUAUCAUUGCCCACUACUAUCAUUGCACGUGUUUAGUUUCCAUUAUGGCUAUGUAGUGCGGUAUACAUCCUGUGUAGGUGGAUUGUCACUGCAUAGAGAAAAGAUAAGUAUAAUAAUUAUAAUUAUGGCUACAUGUACCAUACAACUUUGCUCUCUGUGCAGGUUGAUUGUGUGUGGAGGAGCCACUGUAACAGCAUACACACAGAUGAGUAGCUAGCUAUGUUGUGUGGCAAGUCUUUCAUGCUCUCUGUGUAGGUUGAUUGCAUGUGGAGGAGCCACUGUAACAGCAUACACACAGAUGACUAGCUAGCUAUGUUGUGUGGCAAGUCUUUCAUGCUCUCUGUGUAGAUUGAUUGCAUGUGGAGGAGCCACUGUAACAGCAUACACACAGAUGAGUAGCUAGCUAUGUUGUGUGGCAAGUCUUUCAUACUCUCUGUGUAGGUUGAUUGCAUGUGGAGGAGCCACUGUAACAGCAUACACACAGAUGAGUAGCUAGCUAUGUUGUGUGGCAAGUCUUUCAUACUCUCUGUGUAGGUUGAUUGCAUGUGGAGGAGCCACUGUAACAGCAUACACACAGAUGAGUAGCUAGCUAUGUUGUGUGGCAAGUCUUUCAUACUCUCUGUGUAGGUUGAUUGCGUGUGGAGGAGCCACUGUAACAGCAUACAGAUGAGUAGCUAGCUAUGUUGUGUGACAAGUCUUUUAUGCUCCCCUGUGUAGGUUUGAUUGUGUGUGGAGGAGCCACUGUAACAGCAUACACACAGAUGAGUAGCUAGCUAUGUUGUGUGACAAGUCUUUCAUGCUCUCUGUGUAGGUUGAUUGUGUGUGGAGGAGCCACUGUAACAGCAUACACACAGAGGAGUAGCUAGCUAUGUUGUGUGGCAAGUCUUUCAUGCUCUCUGUGUGCAGGUUGAUUGCGUGUGGAGGAGCCACUGUAACAGCAUACACACAGAUGAGCAGCUAGCUAUGUUGUAUGGCAAGUCUUUCAUGCUCUCUGUGUAGGUUGAUGCUGAGUAUGCUCAAGGCAAUGGUUCUGGCAGUAACAAACAGUUAACUCUGAUGCACAGCAAUCAAUAUCAUUGUAACAAGUCAUUCAUACUUCAAUCAUUAAACUAUUUUUGUAAUCUUAGAAAUUGUAAUUCAGUACAGAAACUGUUAUCAAUCCUUCAAAGUUUGUCGUUUAAAUUCUUGUCCUGUGACACUUAAUUAACAUUGAGACAAUCAA